GGGGCUGUGACUCAGUGGUAAAGUGCAUGCCUAGCACACAUGAGGCACUGGGUUCAAACAUCAGCACCACA
RNAcentral lists this transfer RNA (71 nucleotides) under Marmota monax (woodchuck). RNAcentral's name for it is "tRNA.Ala". The record is from RNAcentral. Lineage: Eukaryota; Metazoa; Chordata; Mammalia; Rodentia; Sciuridae.